AUUACACAAAUAUGAAGGCGGGCUGGAACCUCUCGGGGUUACAGCCUUGCUGAAUUAUUCACCCUUGUCUUUUGCGUACUUCUUGUUUCCUUGGUGGGUUCGCCCACCACUAGGACAAACAUAAACCUUUUGUAAUUGCAAUCAGCGUCAGUAACAAAUUAAUAAUUACAACUUUCAACAACGGAUCUCUUGGUUCUGGCAUCGAUGAAGAACGCAGCGAAAUGCGAUAAGUAGUGUGAAUUGCAGAAUUCAGUGAAUCAUCGAAUCUUUGAACGCACAUUGCGCCCUUUGGUAUUCCAAAGGGCAUGCCUGUUCGAGCGUCAUUUGUACCCUCAAGCUUUGCUUGGUGUUGGGCGUCUUGUCUCUAGCUUUGCUGGAGACUCGCCUUAAAGUAAUUGGCAGCCGGCCUACUGGUUUCGGAGCGCAGCACAAGUCGCACUCUCUAUCAGCAAAGGUCUAGCAUCCAUUAAGCCUUUUUUUCAACUUUUGACCUCGGAUCAGGUAGGGAUACCCGCUGAACUUAAGCAUAUCAAUAAGCGGAGGAAAAGAAACCAACAGGGAUUGCCCUAGUAACGGCGAGUGAAGCGGCAACAGCUCAAAUUUGAAAUCUGGCUCUUUUAGAGUCCGAGUUGUAAUUUGCAGAGGGCGCUUUGGCUUUGGCAGCGGUCCAAGUUCCUUGGAACAGGACGUCACAGAGGGUGAGAAUCCCGUACGUGGUCGCUGGCUAUUGCCGUGUAAAGCCCCUUCGACGAGUCGAGUUGUUUGGGAAUGCAGCUCUAAAUGGGAGGUACAUUUCUUCUAAAGCUAAAUAUUGGCCAGAGACCGAUAGCGCACAAGUAGAGUGAUCGAAAGAUGAAAAGCACUUUGGAAAGAGAGUCAAACAGCACGUGAAAUUGUUGAAAGGGAAGCGCUUGCAGCCAGACUUGCUUACAGUUGCUCAUCCGGGUUUCUACCCGGUGCACUCUUCUGUAGGCAGGCCAGCAUCAGUUUGGGCGGUAGGAUAAAGGUCUCUGUCACGUAC
Molecule: ribosomal RNA, 1021 nt
Filed under: fungal endophyte
Lineage: Eukaryota; Fungi
Description: eukaryotic LSU rRNA
Rfam family: Eukaryotic large subunit ribosomal RNA (bases 488-1021)
Source: RNAcentral